RNAcentral lists this long non-coding RNA (931 nucleotides) under Sorghum bicolor (sorghum). RNAcentral's name for it is "long non-coding RNA (SBIC_LNC005386)". Lineage: Eukaryota; Viridiplantae; Streptophyta; Magnoliopsida; Poales; Poaceae. The record is from RNAcentral.
UAUGAUGAGAGUUUAAAUUCCUACCACAGCCAUAUAAACAUGCUUGUUACACUUUGAGCCACACAUUUACUAUUUACUGCUUAUGAGCAUUGAGUGUGGUCAAGCUGUGUAGACCCUUAGGAGCUUGUCAUGUUGUUAAAUCAAGAUUCACUUGCACGUUCACUCACAUAUGCUGCUUCUACUCCGGAAGUACCAUCCACAUAUAUCCAUCCAUUUCCAUCUCUAGAAUCACCCAAAAAUAUUCUACUCCUAAUCCGGGAGAGAAUAGCCAAAAAUAUUUCUGUUUAUCCCUUGUGAAAUAAAUGCUCAAGUUAUCUUGUUACUACCACUUGCUAUAUUAUCUCAAGAGAUGAGUGCUCUGAAGAAAAAAAAGAUACGAGAAAAUAAAAAGGGGCAAGUCCCCGGAACCUCGAAAGAAAAGAAAAAGUGAGACGAGAGGUAAAAAUGGACAAGUGUCCGACAGUAGAAUUAGGGGUACAAGAUACCCACCUGAGAGAAAAGAAAAAGAAGAGCAUCUCAUUCUCCUCAUAAAGUUUCAGAAAGCAAGGAAGGUAUGUAUCCCCUCAAAAGAGCAAAAGUAGAAUUAGACUUUCACCAUUGUUAUCACCAUCACCAUCAUUACCAUACACCAUUCAUUUGCCACACAUGCACAUCUUGAUUUGGCUUAUUGAUUUGUUUCUUUGUGUCCAUGGUUUGACUAUACAAUAAAUGUCUUGUACGUAAGUAUGUAUACUUUAUCUCCCACCUAUGAGCUCCAGAUAUUAAAGCCUUAUUAGAGUAGGGUGAGAGAGAAGGCAAUAUGCUUUAUACCAUAAAUACCAUAUAUAUUGAGAGAAGGCAUAUACCAUCACUACCUUGGUAAGGAUCCAGAAAUACCACAAAAGAGAGAUCUGAGAGAGUCAUACAAGGAAUCUCUGAGUUUUAUUUGAAA